This 64-nucleotide transfer RNA is filed under the name Coelophthinia sp. 1 JPL-2022a. RNAcentral describes it as "tRNA-His". The record is from RNAcentral. Lineage: Eukaryota; Metazoa; Arthropoda; Insecta; Diptera; Mycetophilidae.
AUUUAAAUAGUUUAUUUAAAAUAUUGAUUUGUGGUGUCAAUGAUGUAGAUUUCUACUUUAAAUA